This 301-nucleotide ribosomal RNA is filed under the name uncultured bacterium. RNAcentral describes it as "partial 16S ribosomal RNA". It matches the Rfam family "Bacterial small subunit ribosomal RNA", at positions 509 to 807 of the family's 1533-position model. The record is from RNAcentral.
CAGUAGCCGCGGGAAUACAGAGGGUGCGAGCGUUAAUCGGAUUUACUGGGCGUAAAGCGUGCGUAGGCGGCUUCUUAAGUCGGAUGUGAAAUCCCUGAGCUUAACUUAGGAAUUGCAUUCGAUACUGGGAAGCUAGAGUAUGGGAGAGGAUGGUAGAAUUCCAGGUGUAGCAGUGAAAUGCGUAGAGAUCGGAAGGAACAUCUGUGGCGAAGGCGACUAUCUGGGCCAACACUGACACUGAGGCACGAAAGCGUGGGGAGCAAACAGGAUUAGAUACCCGUGUAGUCCAUGUCUCUUAUAC